UGUCUAAGGAUGUGUCCCUCAGCCGGCCCACAUGCCAGACCCCUUGUCCAGCGAUGGAGGCCCACUCUGCCAGUGCAGAACACCCAGCAGAAUCUACAUCUUUCAAAUCCUUCAGUGCGUGACCCGUCGGGUCAGGGUGGAUUGAAGCAUCACGCAGACGGACAUCUGAACAGCCUUUAAUGGAAUGAAAUCAGUUUGCAUUCACCGCAUUAUUCAGCUUUCUGGCCUUCAUGGGCGGCAGUGGCGUGACACAUGGAGAGGAUGGGAAAUACUGCUCUGACAGGGUUGAAAUAAAUGCAAUAGUUCUCUGCCCUUUAGGUCUCGAUUGUAAUGCAAUUGCAUUUUAUAUUUUCACUCCGUAGCAACUGUUAAAAAAAUACUUCAUCUAACUUCACUUUGGAUCGUGUAACGAGCUCCCACCACACGGCUAAGUCCGCGCGACUCGCAGGAAGUGAAUCCUCUGACCUCUGCCCCCGCAGGGAUGCCUAUUUCCUCAGGGCUGGGGUCAGGAGGAAGGGGCAACCAUCCCAUUGUACCAAGUAAGUCGUCGUCCUUUGCCAGUGUUUACAUUCCACCAGCUUCGGCCCCGGGGCAGAUCAGAGGUCCGCCAUGGGAAUGCUAAAUGAGAUGCGGUGGAAUGCUCCCCGGCUUCCUGGCUCAGCAGCCUCACCUUGCCCGAGCCCCCCGGACACCCCGAUGUCAAGAGGUUACUGGUGGUGGAACAUGUGUCAACCUCCUCCCAGCGUCGGGUCACAGGAGGGAUGCCUCACAAUAAGCUGAAGAGCAGCUUACAACGUCAACAAAAAAAAAAGACAUUGCCGGCUUCAUGUGACCUGAUGACAUUUGGGCCUUGGGGUCACUUGACUGUCCAUCUCCACUAUCAGCCCAAAGCCCCUGUGACAGGGAAGAUUGAGGGCUGAGGGCCAGUCCCUACGCUGUACCAUGCAGCAAGGAACUGCAGAUGCUGGUUUACACCGAAGAUUGCUGGAGUCACUCAGUGGGAUGGGCAGCAUCGCUGGAGAGAAGGAAUGGGUGACGUUUCGGGUCGAGACCCUUCUUCAGACUGAGAGUCAGAGGAGAGGGACACAAGGAAGGUUAUCUGCUUGAUGUCAAAUUUAAGUUGGAACAAACUGCAGAGGACAAGUUGGACGUCGAGGAUAUGUGUUUAUUUUCAUCUCUAACCCAGAGGAGCAUUUUUCACUAAGUCUUUGCUUUGCAACUUUGCUGAUCAAUUCACAUAAAGACCUUCUUGCAAACGGCUCUUCCUUACAGAUGUCACAGUCACCGCUGAGGAUUGGUGUCUGCUGCUCACGUGCCUCGGGUAACAAAUGAAACUGUCACAGGGAUUCUAGAAACCACGGGAGCCAGGGACUUUAACGUCGCGGCCUCUGGUUAGAGACCGACUUCGGGAACUCCAAGCCAUAGGAGCUUUGACCGUGUCGACGGGGGGGGCUUCGACCACCCCAACGCGGGGGCUUCAACCACCCCAACGCGGGGGCUUCAAUCGCCCCUACUGCGGAUGGCUCAACUGCCCCGACUGCGGGAGAAUAAAAAAACGGAAGACAUUUGGACUUUAGUGCCUUCCGUCUCAGUGAGGAACGUGGGGAACCUGCUGUGGUGGAUGUUUAUGUUAACUUUCAUGUAGUUGUGUGUCUUGGUGCUUUUUUUUGUAUGGCUGUAUGGUAAUUCAAAUUUCACUGUACCCUAAUUGGCACAUGUGACAAUAAACUGACAUUGAAACCUUGAAACCUUGAAAUAAAAAGAUGAUAUCCAAUUUGUAUUUUAGGAAGAGCACAUUUGUACAUUCUUUGGGUCAUGUUAUUGUGUACAUUGGUAUCAGAUAGCAUGAGUCAACACCAGCUUGUAAAGUCCGUGAGAUUGCCUUAUCACAGUGACUGACACCAUUGACCCACAGCAGUUUCGAUGGCAGACCUGAAUUUGUAACAAUACUGAAAGGUUACUUUUCUUACUUGUAGGACAUGGUCCUCCUUUACCGAAGGCAUCAGUCAACCUCGUUACCUCCAAGCUCAGGUGUUUCCAGAUGAGAGUUAUGAGAGCUUUGUUGGAUAUUGUUUUAAGGUGCUUACUUCAUAGACUUGUCACUAAUUCAUUCAAUACUUAUUAUCCAAGACUCGAAUUAUAUUAUGUA
This is a long non-coding RNA of Leucoraja erinaceus (little skate), 2149 nucleotides long. RefSeq lists it as uncharacterized. The transcript has 3 exons. The record is from RefSeq and is a predicted model, not a curated record. NCBI's taxonomy places the organism in Eukaryota, Metazoa, Chordata, Chondrichthyes, Rajiformes, Rajidae.